This 465-nucleotide ribosomal RNA is filed under the name Vreelandella stevensii. Its description in RNAcentral is "partial 16S ribosomal RNA". It matches the Rfam family "Bacterial small subunit ribosomal RNA", at positions 338 to 795 of the family's 1533-position model. The record is from RNAcentral. Lineage: Bacteria; Pseudomonadati; Pseudomonadota; Gammaproteobacteria; Oceanospirillales; Halomonadaceae.
CCUACGGGGGGCAGCAGUGGGGAAUAUUGGACAAUGGGGGCAACCCUGAUCCAGCCAUGCCGCGUGUGUGAAGAAGGCCCUCGGGUUGUAAAGCACUUUCAGUGAGGAAGAACGCCUGGUGGUUAAUACCCAUCAGGAAAGACAUCACUCACAGAAGAAGCACCGGCUAACUCCGUGCCAGCAGCCGCGGUAAUACGGAGGGUGCGAGCGUUAAUCGGAAUUACUGGGCGUAAAGCGCGCGUAGGUGGCUUGAUAAGCCGGUUGUGAAAGCCCCGGGCUCAACCUGGGAACGGCAUCCGGAGCUGUAAAGCUAGAGAGCAGGAGAGGAAGGUAGAAUUCCCGGUGUAGCGGUGAAAUGCCUAGAGAUCGGGAGGAAUACCAGUGGCGAAGGCGGCCUUCUGGACUGACACUGACACUGAGGUGCGAAAGCGUGGGUAGCAAACAGGAUUAGAUACCCGUGUAGGC